GGCUUCUCCCUGUGACUCUUGGCCAGACUCGUCUCACGGACCCACCUGUAGCCGCAGGACAGGCUGGGAAUCAAUGUUCCAGAGGAGAAACACGGGACAGAGGAGAGGGAAUGAGCAGCCCCAGGAACACUGCAUCUUCUGGGAAGGCCCAAAGCCAACGUAGCCGGAUGGUGUUCUUCUCUGCCCUUUGUCACGUCUGGAUUGCUUGUGUGGGGUGACCAGCCGGCCCAGACACAUCCCCAGUGACGGUCAAGAAAUCGGGUUUCCAGUUCCUUGGGACCUGGGCGCUGCUCCCUACGGCUUCCCGUCCCUCCCCCAGAAGUGAGCACAGAUCGCAGACCACGGAGGACACGGGGAGAGCGUGCCGUCCACUCGCCCAGCAGAGGCCCCGCAGGGAGGCCUGCAUCUCGGGCUUCAGCCCCUGGGACGGUGAGGAGUAAACUCACGUUUCUAGAGCCGCCUGGUUUGUGGUAUUUUUUUCGCGGCCCCUGAAGACUCAGUCAGGGGCUGGGUGGGGGGCAGGGCAGGUCCGCCUCACCUCUGCCUUGCAGGGUCACUGUGGACAAGCCACCACCUCUCUGGUUUUCCUCCUUCGGCCCGACGACGGGACAAGUGCCCUGGGAAAAACCCGUAGCUGGUCUCUUCAAGAGCAGCGGGGUCCCGUCCAGUGGUCUGGAGGCCCCGUCACUGGCUGGCCCCUGCCCCUCCGUGGCCUGUGACUUCAUGGGACACGUACCGAGCCACACAGGUCCUCUGCCCUCGUCUUACGGGCACACUGGGUCGGCUCUCGGGCGCCAGUCUGCCUGCAGGAGACUCUGCACCAGGGGGCCCGGAGCUCUCAUGGAGGGCACACUCCCACCCCAGCUGGCCGGCUGCGAGGGACAGUGUCCAAGCCACCAGCAGCCGGGCAUCCACCAUGGCUCCAGAUCCGCCCACUUGUGGCCCAGAGACAGGGUUUACAAAGAGUUGCUAGAGAGGAGGUGUGACUUGGAAAUUCGCAAGGACCUUCCCGAGGAUGUGUGCACGUGGAGACUGACCAGCCAAUUCCCAGACCCUUGGUCUUUCCUGAAGCUGAUCUACCCGGGAGGGUUGGUGAAGGGAUAAAGGGUUUCCGUUCUUCUCUUUUACAAACUCUGUCCUCCCACUUCGCUCCCAACCUCUUGUCUGUCCCACGUGCGGGCGCCCCGGGGUCUCGUGUGCAUCUGGGAAGGGGCGUGACGCGACAGCUGGGAGGCUCCUCCCUUCGUGUGUCAAGGAUUUGAAGUGUUUGCUUUCAACUCAGGAGAAAAAGAACUAACUGGGAUUUCUCUGGAAGGGCCCAUGGGUGAAGGAUUCCCUUCAUUCUUGUGUGUGGAGACGUGUUUUCCUGUGGCCUUGAUACUCAAGGGACCACUUGGCUGGACAUAAAUUCUCACCUGUGCUCCUGCCCCCUCGGUUUUGGAGAAAUUCGACUCUGUGGUUGUCUCGUUUAGUCUGGCCAUGGUUGAAAGGCUUAAUCUAAUUCUUUGCCUUUUUAAUUUCUUUUGUUAAAAACAUGUUUAUUUAUUUAUUUUUUUCAACGUUUUUAUUUAUUUUUGGGACAGAGAGAGACAGAACAUGAACGGGGGAGGGGCAGAGAGAGAGGGCGACACAGAAUCGGAAACAGGCUCCAGGCUCUGAGCCAUCAGCCCAGAGCCUGACGCGGGGCUCGAACUCACGGACCACGAGAUUGUGACCUGGUUGAAGUUGGACGCUUAACCGACUGCGCCACCCAGGCGCCCCAAAACAUGUUUAUUUUUGAGAGAGAGAGAGAGAGACAGAGCAUGAGUGGGGGAGGGGCAGAGACAGAGGAAGACACACAAUCCGAAGCAGGCUCCAGGCUAGCUGUCAGCACAGAGCCUGAUGUGGGGCUCGAACCCACGAACUGCCAGAUCAUGACCUGAGCUGAAGUCAGAUGCUCAACCGACUGAGCCACCCAGGUGCUCUGAGAUUUGGGCUGGGUUUUUAUGUCUUCAGAUGCUUGUUGGGUGGUAGUAUGUAAUUCCGUUUCGAGUGUAGACAUGCCGUUGGCUUCCGUCUUCUUCCCGCCUCCUCCGAGGUCAGGCGGACUCUCUUCCCUCCAUUUGUGUGCGUUCAUUUCCUGCCGCCCGGCCGCCUUCUCUGUGCGUUUCAUCUCCUUGUUUAUUCCGCACGAAGUUUGCAGUUAGACCUGGCCUUUCCUGCACGUCUGGGGACUACGGUCCUUUGGUGGGAGUUUGCUUUGGGGGAAGGGGGUGUGGACCCCCUGUGGGUCACCUGCACACACCACUCCUCUCCUUGCUCAAAGUCCAAUGGACCUUCUCCUUCCCAUGAGGCCUUCAGAAUCCGAGGGUUUUCUGGCCGCUGAGUCCGGUCUUCCCGCGGCCGUGGGUCUGGCCCGCAGCCUCUGUGUCGCUGGGGGCAUAUCACGUCUCCUCUUCUUACAGGCGUUUUGCAGUCCUGUUGACUUAUUUUUAAUUAAUUACUCAUUUCUAUUUUAAUUCCAAUAUCAUUAGCAUUUUGCAGUUUUGACCUGCUUUUUCCCAAGUAACACUGAGGGUUUUGCACAGAAAUGUCAUGGCUACUUUGGAUCAUUUGGGGAGGAGUGAGUUGAAUCCUGUGUCUGGAGAUAUUUGACACCCUUCUUUCUUUUAUGGCCAAACCACUCAGGCCAACAGAUCAGCAAAACUAUAGAAGAUUUGAACAGUAGCAUCUGUCAUCGUCACCUCAUUGGUAUCCUCAGAGCUGUGAACGUGGAAACGGACACUCAGAAGGGCAUAUGGCACCUUCCAGAACAUGGACUCCCUACCUGAACGUAAAAACAAGCUCAAUAAAAUUCAAAAGUUUACAAUCA
Molecule: long non-coding RNA, 2851 nt
Filed under: Felis catus (domestic cat)
Lineage: Eukaryota; Metazoa; Chordata; Mammalia; Carnivora; Felidae
Description: lncRNA (ENSFCAG00000051843.1)
Source: RNAcentral